CCUACGGGAGGCAGCAGUGGGGAAUCUUCCGCAAUGGGCGAAAGCCUGACGGAGCAACGCCGCGUGAGUGAAGAAGGUCUUCGGAUCGUAAAGCUCUGUUGUCGGGGACGAACGCAGUUCGGGUAAACAAUCCGAGCUGGUGACGGUACCUGACGAGGAAGCCACGGCUAACUACGUGCCAGCAGCCGCGGUAAUACGUAGGUGGCGAGCGUUGUCCGGAAUCAUUGGGCGUAAAGGGAGCGCAGGCGGGAAGGCAAGCGUGUCUUAAAAGUGCGGGGCUCAACCCCGUGAGGGGACACGAACUGCCUUUCUUGAGUGCAGGAGAGGAAAGCGGAAUUCCUAGUGUAGCGGUGAAAUGCGUAGAUAUUAGGAGGAACACCAGUGGCGAAGGCGGCUUUCUGGACUGCAACUGACGCUGAGGCUCGAAAGCCAGGGGAGCGAACGGGAUUAGAUACCCUUGUAGUC
Molecule: ribosomal RNA, 465 nt
Filed under: uncultured Veillonellaceae bacterium
Lineage: Bacteria; Bacillati; Bacillota; Negativicutes; Veillonellales; Veillonellaceae
Description: bacterial SSU rRNA
Rfam family: Bacterial small subunit ribosomal RNA
Source: RNAcentral